UUGUCUCAGCAACACAUAUACUAAAAUUGGAAUGAUUAAGAGAAGAUUAACAUGGCCCCUGCAUAAGGAUGACACACACGUUCGUGAAGUGCUCCACAUUUUU
Tachyglossus aculeatus (Australian echidna) is the source of this 103-nucleotide small nuclear RNA. Lineage: Eukaryota; Metazoa; Chordata; Mammalia; Monotremata; Tachyglossidae. The record is from RefSeq and is a predicted model, not a curated record.